UACGAAGGGGACUAGCGUUGUUCGGAAUCACUGGGCGUAAAGCGCACGUAGGCGGAUAUGUCAGUCAGGGGUGAAAUCCCGGGGCUCAACCUCGGAACUGCCUUUGAUACAGCAUGUCUUGAGUCCGAUAGAGGUGGGUGGAAUUCCUAGUGUAGAGGUGAAAUUCGUAGAUAUUCGCAAGAACACCAGUGGCGAAGGCGGCUUACUGGUCCGGUUCUGACGCUGAGGCGCGAAAGCGUGGGGAGCAAACAGG
RNAcentral lists this ribosomal RNA (253 nucleotides) under uncultured bacterium. Its description in RNAcentral is "partial 16S ribosomal RNA". It matches the Rfam family "Bacterial small subunit ribosomal RNA", at positions 524 to 776 of the family's 1533-position model. The record is from RNAcentral.